This 497-nucleotide ribosomal RNA is filed under the name uncultured bacterium. RNAcentral's name for it is "partial 16S ribosomal RNA". It matches the Rfam family "Bacterial small subunit ribosomal RNA", at positions 28 to 507 of the family's 1533-position model. The record is from RNAcentral.
GAUGAACGCUGGCGGCGUGCCUAAUACAUGCAAGUCGAGCGAACGGGCGAGAAGCUUGCUUCUCUGAUGUUAGCGGCGGACCGGUGAGUAACACGUGGAUAACCUACCUAUAAGACUGGGAUAACUUCGGGAAACCGGAGCUAAUACCGGAUAAUAUUUUGAACCGCAUGGUUCAAAAGUGAAAGACGGUCUUGCUGUCACUUAUAGAUGGAUCCGCGCUGCAUUAGCUAGUUGGUAAGGUAACGGCUUACCAAGGCAACGAUGCAUAGCCGACCUGAGAGGGUGAUCGGCCACACUGGAACUGAGACACGGUCCAGACUCCUACGGGAGGCAGCAGUAGGGAAUCUUCCGCAAUGGGCGAAAGCCUGACGGAGCAACGCCGCGUGAGUGAUGAAGGUCUUCGGAUCGUAAAACUCUGUUAUUAGGGAAGAACAUAUGUGUAAGUAACUGUGCACAUCUUGACGGUACCUAAUCAGAAAGCCACGGCUAACUACGUG